AUGGCCAAGUCAGUGCCGUCGAAAUGGUUCAAUUUGUCGCGCUUCCUCGGGAUGACGGUGGACGUCACGAUCGGGAGCAAGAACCGGGAGUCGUCCAAGACGUUCACCAGCAGGAUACACCUGAAGAUGAGCCUGGAGAUGGUGUACCAACGUGCUAGACGCGCGGAUGCACUACAGCAGCGACCUGCAGCUGGCAGCGAAAAACCUCCGAAAGAGUGCCAUAGGCGUGCUGGAGGAGUGGAGGUGGGCAUCCUCAGCGCGCACGGCCCGGUCGGCAGCAAGAACCCCUACUGCAUUGCCAAGUGGGUGCGCACGCGCACGCUGCUGGGCACCGCUGCACCACAGUGGAACGAGCCGUACACCUGUGAUGUAUUCGACCUCAGCACCGUCAUCACGGUCGCCGUCUUGGACAGUAACCACAUCCACCGCGGUCAUGCAGUCAGACCAGCCGAGGACCAGAGGAUCGGCAAGGAUUCGCCACUGCGACCCUUGCCACUAGGCUACAGCCUAGUCCUCUGCUGCGGAAGAUACACCACACCCAUCCUGGCGAUGCAGAUGCUGGACAAGUCCGACCCGCCACUACAUAAGGAGGCGGUGGAGUACAUGCUGGAGGACGAUUCCCACAUGUUUAGCCUUCGUGGAAGCAAGGCAUACAUCUGCCGGAUCACCACGCUCUUCUCGAGUGUUGUCACCGUGGCCAAAUGGUUCGACGGUAUCUGCAAGUGGAAGAACCCAAUGACGACGAUUUUGGGGCACGCGGUGUUCCUGAAGCUGGUGCGCAACCCGGAGUUGAUCCUGCCCAUCGUGUUCCUAUGA
Molecule: ribosomal RNA, 816 nt
Filed under: Triticum aestivum (bread wheat)
Lineage: Eukaryota; Viridiplantae; Streptophyta; Magnoliopsida; Poales; Poaceae
Description: partial small subunit ribosomal RNA
Source: RNAcentral